GUCAUGCCAAUGGCACUGCCCGGUAGCUAAAUGCGGAAGAGAUAAGUGCUGAAAGCAUCUAAGCACGAAACUUGCCCCGAGAUGAGUUCUCCCUGACUCCUUGAGAGUCCUGAAGGAACGUUGAAGACGACGACGUUGAUAGGCCGGGUGUGUAAGCGCAGCGAUGCGUUGAGCUAACCGGUACUAAUGAACCGUGAGGCUUAACCUUACAACGCCGAAGCUGUU
Molecule: ribosomal RNA, 225 nt
Filed under: Escherichia coli
Lineage: Bacteria; Pseudomonadati; Pseudomonadota; Gammaproteobacteria; Enterobacterales; Enterobacteriaceae
Description: partial 23S ribosomal RNA
Rfam family: Bacterial large subunit ribosomal RNA
Source: RNAcentral